Molecule: ribosomal RNA, 451 nt
Filed under: uncultured Streptococcus sp.
Lineage: Bacteria; Bacillati; Bacillota; Bacilli; Lactobacillales; Streptococcaceae
Description: bacterial SSU rRNA
Rfam family: Bacterial small subunit ribosomal RNA
Source: RNAcentral
GCGGUGGAGCAUGUGGUUUAAUUCGAAGCAACGCGAAGAACCUUACCAGGUCUUGACAUCCCGAUGCUAUUUCUAGAGAUAGAAAGUUACUUCGGUACAUCGGUGACAGGUGGUGCAUGGUUGUCGUCAGCUCGUGUCGUGAGAUGUUGGGUUAAGUCCCGCAACGAGCGCAACCCCUAUUGUUAGUUGCCAUCAUUCAGUUGGGCACUCUAGCGAGACUGCCGGUAAUAAACCGGAGGAAGUGGGGAUGACGUCAAAUCAUCAUGCCCCUUAUGACCUGGGCUACACACGUGCUACAAUGGUUGGUACAACGAGUUGCGAGUCGGUGACGGCGAGCUAAUCUCUUAAAGCCAAUCUCAGUUCGGAUUGUAGGCUGCAACUCGCCUACAUGAAGUCGGAAUCGCUAGUAAUCGCGGAUCAGCACGCCGCGGUGAAUACGUUCCCGGGCCUU